RNAcentral lists this ribosomal RNA (1518 nucleotides) under Bifidobacterium catenulatum DSM 16992 = JCM 1194 = LMG 11043. Its description in RNAcentral is "bacterial SSU rRNA". It matches the Rfam family "Bacterial small subunit ribosomal RNA". Lineage: Bacteria; Bacillati; Actinomycetota; Actinomycetes; Bifidobacteriales; Bifidobacteriaceae. The record is from RNAcentral.
AGGGUUCGAUUCUGGCUCAGGAUGAACGCUGGCGGCGUGCUUAACACAUGCAAGUCGAACGGGAUCCAGGCAGCUUGCUGCCUGGUGAGAGUGGCGAACGGGUGAGUAAUGCGUGACCGACCUGCCCCAUACACCGGAAUAGCUCCUGGAAACGGGUGGUAAUGCCGGAUGCUCCGACUCCUCGCAUGGGGUGUCGGGAAAGAUUUCAUCGGUAUGGGAUGGGGUCGCGUCCUAUCAGGUAGUCGGCGGGGUAACGGCCCACCGAGCCUACGACGGGUAGCCGGCCUGAGAGGGCGACCGGCCACAUUGGGACUGAGAUACGGCCCAGACUCCUACGGGAGGCAGCAGUGGGGAAUAUUGCACAAUGGGCGCAAGCCUGAUGCAGCGACGCCGCGUGCGGGAUGACGGCCUUCGGGUUGUAAACCGCUUUUGAUCGGGAGCAAGCCUUCGGGUGAGUGUACCUUUCGAAUAAGCACCGGCUAACUACGUGCCAGCAGCCGCGGUAAUACGUAGGGUGCAAGCGUUAUCCGGAAUUAUUGGGCGUAAAGGGCUCGUAGGCGGUUCGUCGCGUCCGGUGUGAAAGUCCAUCGCUUAACGGUGGAUCUGCGCCGGGUACGGGCGGGCUGGAGUGCGGUAGGGGAGACUGGAAUUCCCGGUGUAACGGUGGAAUGUGUAGAUAUCGGGAAGAACACCAAUGGCGAAGGCAGGUCUCUGGGCCGUUACUGACGCUGAGGAGCGAAAGCGUGGGGAGCGAACAGGAUUAGAUACCCUGGUAGUCCACGCCGUAAACGGUGGAUGCUGGAUGUGGGGCCCGUUCCACGGGUUCCGUGUCGGAGCUAACGGCGUUAAGCAUCCCGCCUGGGGAGUACGGCCGCAAGGCUAAAACUCAAAGAAAUUGACGGGGGCCCGCACAAGCGGCGGAGCAUGCGGAUUAAUUCGAUGCAACGCGAAGAACCUUACCUGGGCUUGACAUGUUCCCGACAGCCGUAGAGAUACGGGUCUCCCUUCGGGGCGGGUUCACAGGUGGUGCAUGGUCGUCGUCAGCUCGUGUCGUGAGAUGUUGGGUUAAGUCCCGCAACGAGCGCAACCCUCGCCCUGUGUUGCCAGCACGUCAUGGUGGGAACUCACGGGGGACCGCCGGGGUCAACUCGGAGGAAGGUGGGGAUGACGUCAGAUCAUCAUGCCCCUUACGUCCAGGGCUUCACGCAUGCUACAAUGGCCGGUACAACGGGAUGCGACAUGGCGACAUGGAGCGGAUCCCUGAAAACCGGUCUCAGUUCGGAUUGGAGUCUGCAACCCGACUCCAUGAAGGCGGAGUCGCUAGUAAUCGCGGAUCAGCAACGCCGCGGUGAAUGCGUUCCCGGGCCUUGUACACACCGCCCGUCAAGUCAUGAAAGUGGGUAGCACCCGAAGCCGGUGGCCUAACCCCUUGUGGGAUGGAGCCGUCUAAGGUGAGACUCGUGAUUGGGACUAAGUCGUAACAAGGUAGCCGUACCGGAAGGUGCGGCUGGAUCACCU